RNAcentral lists this transfer RNA (71 nucleotides) under Marmota monax (woodchuck). RNAcentral's name for it is "tRNA.Undet". Lineage: Eukaryota; Metazoa; Chordata; Mammalia; Rodentia; Sciuridae. The record is from RNAcentral.
GAAGGUGUAGCUCAGUGGUAGAGCAUUUGCCAAGCAUAUGUGAGGCUCUGGCUUCGAUCCCCAGCACCACA